Molecule: ribosomal RNA, 537 nt
Filed under: uncultured bacterium
Lineage: Bacteria
Description: partial 16S ribosomal RNA
Rfam family: Bacterial small subunit ribosomal RNA
Source: RNAcentral
UGGGGAAUAUUGGACAAUGGGCGAAAGCCUGAUCCAGCCAUGCCGCGUGUGUGAAGAAGGUCUUCGGAUUGUAAAGCACUUUAAGUUGGGAGGAAGGGCAGUAAGUUAAUACCUUGCUGUUUUGACGUUACCGACAGAAUAAGCACCGGCUAACUUCGUGCCAGCAGCCGCGGUAAUACGAAGGGUGCAAGCGUUAAUCGGAAUUACUGGGCGUAAAGCGCGCGUAGGUGGUUUGAUAAGUUGGAUGUGAAAGCCCCGGGCUCAACCUGGGAAUUGCAUCCAAAACUGUCUGACUAGAGUAUGGCAGAGGGUGGUGGAAUUUCCUGUGUAGCGGUGAAAUGCGUAGAUAUAGGAAGGAACACCAGUGGCGAAGGCGACCGCCUGGGCUAAUUACUGACACUGAGGUGCGAAAGCGUGGGGAGCAAACAAGGAUUAGAUACCCUGGUAGUCCACGCCGUAAACGAUGUCGACUAGCCGUUGGGGAUCCUUGAGAUCUUAGUGGCGCAGCUAACGCAUUAAGUCGACCGCCUGGGGAGU